RNAcentral lists this unclassified non-coding RNA (329 nucleotides) under soil metagenome. RNAcentral describes it as "partial contains 5.8S ribosomal RNA, internal transcribed spacer 2, and large subunit ribosomal RNA". The stretch from base 1 to 120 matches the Rfam family "5.8S ribosomal RNA", at positions 35 to 154 of the family's 154-position model. The record is from RNAcentral.
GAUGAAGAACGUAGUGAAAUGCGAUAAGUAAUGUGAAUUGCAGAAUUCAGUGAAUCAUCGAAUCUUUGAACGCACAUUGCGCCCCCUGGUAUUCCGGGGGGCAUGCCUGUCCGAGCGUCAUUACAACCCUCAAGCUCAGCUUGGUAUUGGGCCCCGCCGCUCCGGCGGGCCCUAAAGUCAGUGGCGGUGCCGUCCGGCUCCGAGCGUAGUAAUUCUUCUCGCUCUGGAGGCCCGGUCGUGUGCUCGCCAGCAACCCCCAAUUUUUUUCAGGUUGACCUCGGAUCAGGUAGGGAUACCCGCUGAACUUAAGCAUAUCAAUAAGCGGAGGA